ACGGAUUUAUUCAGCCAUGGACGGUUACAGGUAAAUCUCCUAUUGCUAUCGAUACCAAUGAUGAUGGUCUUUUUUACGUUGGUCAAACAAGACUAGAACUCAAUGCUGAAAUUGGUAAUUAUGACGGCAAACAGUUGGGACCUGAGGCCGCCUUUAGCUAUCGGCCCUCAGGUCACUACGUCAUGAGUCAAGUAUGUUGUCCAAAAGUUGAGGAGUGGACUUCUGAGAUCCAAUCGGCUUGGGAAAAUAGUGAUGACAA
This 259-nucleotide non-coding RNA is filed under the name Aureoumbra lagunensis. The record is from RNAcentral. Lineage: Eukaryota; Pelagophyceae; Sarcinochrysidales; Sarcinochrysidaceae.